This 1348-nucleotide ribosomal RNA is filed under the name metagenome. RNAcentral describes it as "bacterial SSU rRNA". It matches the Rfam family "Bacterial small subunit ribosomal RNA". The record is from RNAcentral.
AGAGUUUGAUCCUGGCUCAGGAUGAACGCUGGCGGCGUGCUUAACACAUGCAAGUCGAACGAUCCUUCGGGAUAGUGGCGGACGGGUGAGUAACGCGUGGGAAUCUGCCCUUAGGAGGGGGAUAACGGCUGGAAACGGCCGCUAAUACCCCAUAUGCCGAGAGGUGAAACGAAUUUCGCCUGAGGAUGAGCCCGCGUCUGAUUAGCUAGUUGGUGGGGUAAAGGCCUACCAAGACGACGAUCAGUAGCUGGUCUGAGAGGAUGAUCAGCCACACUGGGACUGAGACACGGCCCAGACUCCUACGGGAGGCAGCAGUGGGGAAUUUUCCGCAAUGGGCGAAAGCCUGACGGAGCAACGCCGCGUGAGGGAUGAAGGCCUCUGGGCUGUAAACCUCUUUUCUCAAGGAAGAAGAACUGACGGUACUUGAGGAAUAAGCCACGGCUAAUUCCGUGCCAGCAGCCGCGGUAAUACGGGAGUGGCAAGCGUUAUCCGGAAUUAUUGGGCGUAAAGCGUCCGCAGGCGGCCUUGUAAGUCUGUUGUUAAAGCGUGGAGCUCAACUCCAUUUAAGCAAUGGAAACUACAAGGCUGGAGUGUGGUAGGGGCAGAGGGAAUUCCCGGUGUAGCGGUGAAAUGCGUAGAUAUCGGGAAGAACACCAGUGGCGAAGGCGCUCUGCUGGGCCAUAACUGACGCUCAUGGACGAAAGCCAGGGGAGCGAAAGGGAUUAGAUACCCCUGUAGUCCUGGCCGUAAACGAUGAACACUAGGUGUCGGGGGAAUCGACCCCCUCGGUGUCGUAGCCAACGCGUUAAGUGUUCCGCCUGGGGAGUACGCACGCAAGUGUGAAACUCAAAGGAAUUGACGGGGGCCCGCACAAGCGGUGGAGUAUGUGGUUUAAUUCGAUGCAACGCGAAGAACCUACCAGGGUUUGACAUCCUGCGAAUCCCUUGGAAACGAGGGAGUGCCUUCGGGAGCGCAGUGACAGGUGGUGCAUGGCUGUCGUCAGCUCGUGUCGUGAGAUGUUGGGUUAAGUCCCGGAACGAGCGCAACCCACGUCUUUAGUUGCCAGCAUUCAGUUGGGCACUCUAGAGAGACCGUCGGUGAUAAACCGGAGGAAGGUGUGGAUGACGUCAAGUCAUCAUGCCCCUUACAUCCUGGGCUACACACGUACUACAAUGCUACGGACAAAGGGCAGCAAGCUCGCGAGAGUUAGCAAAUCCCAUAAACCGUGGCUCAGUUCAGAUCGUAGGCUGCAACUCGCCUAUGUGAAGGAGGAAUCGCUAGUAAUCGCAGGUCAGCAUACUGCGGUGAAUACGUUCCCGGGCCUUGUACACACCGCCCGUCACACCAC